GCUGGCACUGCCGAAGCACCUACGCCACGUCAGGCACUUGACACAGCCCCCAUUUCAUUUAAUUAUCUCCACAAACCUGCACAGCAGGAACUCUCACUCCCAUUUCACGGAGGAGAUGAGGACACAGGCUCAGGAGAAGCCCGGAGCACAGCACGCCCUGCCGGAGGUCUUUCAGCGGCCCCAGCCCGGGACCUCCAGCCACACGGGCCUCCGAGCCUCGCCGGCCGCUCUCCCCUGAGAGUUGACAAGUGGGUCUUCCCUGACAUCUCUCUUCCUCCCCGCUUGCGCUUCUCGUACCUCCCUGGCUUCAGCCGAGCUGCCCCCUCCGCCUGGAAUACCCUUCCCACACUAUUCUGGCAGAAAGAACUGCUACGCAUCCUUUACUUGGUUCAGACUUCUGGCCUCCUGGAAAUCCUUCCCACCCCCACCCAUAGGUCACCAGCCUCUGCUGAGCUGAUUUAGGAUCAUAGGAUCUUAACAAAGUGUCGUUAUCUGAGUGAUCCUGUUUCAGGCCUGCCGCAGUCCCUUUUCACCUUGGACAGUCAUUUUUGACUUUAGGUCUGGUCCCCAACGUCUCCACCUGCUAUGGCUCCCCGUGGUCUGAGGCUCAUGACCCCACAACCCUACUUGAGUAGUUUGACUCUGCAGGAGAAAGCUGGAGGGGUAGGGUGAGGGGAGCCACAGCUGGGGCAAGUGUACACCUGGAGUGAGUUGGGGCUGAGCACUGCCCCUGGGUGCCCCCAUCACCCAGAAGGGCCUCUCCUGCUCAGCCUGACAGCUCUGGUUUAUCCACCACUGAAAGAACCAGCAAGCCCCUACAGGCCCUCCCGACAGCGCCUCCAGAAACAAACCUGGCCCAGCCAUGUGGUUACCCUGAUCUGAUCUGCCAUGAGAAAGGUCACAAACAGGGACUGGAUCUCAGCACAGAGGGCUGCCAGCAACAGUUCCCGAGCCCCCUCCCCCCAUGUUCCAGCAGGACAGCUGUCACAAAGUCCAGCUUUCUGCUGGGGAGGAGACAAGCAAGUCCCCAUGUGGCCAGCUAGACCCGCCUGUGAGCCUGUGAUUGUUCUGCCACAGGGAUGACCUGCAUUUGCACUGGCUUUGGAACCAAACAGACCUGACUUUGAGUCCCAGAUUUUGCCACUUAGUAGAACGUGGAUGGGAAGAUAUAAACAGCAUCUCCCUCACUACGUUUUUCUAAGGAUUACAUAACUGUUCAACAAAUGUCAGUGACUAUAGUUACUUCACAGACGGAUAGCUCAAAGCCCAGAAUAAGGAGUAAGAAAACUGGGCAGAGCUGGAUUGAGACUCCUGGGAUCUCCUCUCCGUUCACUCAUCCCUACUCCUUUGUUAAACUGCCCUCUCCACUUUCCUAAAAUUUAAGGGCAAAGCAAGUUGUCCCAGGCACCUCUUAAUGCUUGUCAGAAAUCCCCCCUACUUCAGAUGAAGCAAAUUUCUUCCAGUCAGCAUCCUUAACUCUAUACCACCACCUUGUGGUCACCAGCACAAACUUUCCCUGGCCACUUCCAGAGGACCAAGGUUGGGAGAGGAAGAACCAUGAGUAGCUGCCAUCCCAGUCCUUGCUAAGUGCCUUCAUGUGCCUUACUCCAUUUAAUCCUUAUUACAGGUGGUGAAACUGCUACUCAAAGACAUGGAAUAAUUUGCCAGCCUCUCAGGUGGCGCCAGGAUUUCUACCUCAGACCUCAGAGAUCCUGCUUCCUACUGCACUCUCCUGAUAGCUUCCUGGGAAGCUGGCUGGCACGGCACUUCAGAUUCAGGGACUGCCUGAUACUGUGAAGUCACAAACCCAGUUAACUGCAGAGCCAGAGCCUUUUUUUCUUUUUUUCGAGACAGUCUCUCUGUCGCCCAGGCUGGAGUGCAGUGGUGCCAUCUCGUCUCACUGCAACCUCUGCCUCCCAGGUUCAAGCAAUUCUUGUGCCUCAGCCUCCUGAGUAGCUGGGAUUACAGGCGCCCACCACCUGUUCGGCUAGUUUUUGUAAUUUCAGUAGAGACGGGGUUUCACCAUGUUGGUCAGGCUGGUCUUGAACUCCUGACCUCGGGUGAUCCACCUGCCUUGGCCUCCUGAAGUGUUGGGUUUACAGGCGUGAGCCAUGGUGCCCAGCAGAACCAGAGCUUUUCUUGACUCCCUUGUUUGGUUCUGGGCUCUUAGCUAAGCCCCAGGUAAGCCUGCCAGUUUCAGGGAAGGACUCCUGGAGAUGGCUGUAUCUGAAACAGAAUUCACCAGACAGGGUUUUAGACUUGAUUUACAGAGAACCCUUUAGGUGGUGAAUUGUUUUCACCUGUUAUUUCUAGUGCCUGCUAUUCAGCCACAUCCUCAGCAACUUGCAGCACCCAAACUGCCACAAAACAAGCAAGUAACUGUGCCCUGCUUCCCUAGCUCUAAUCGGAUGCUCCCACACCACUUGGCUGUUCAGUUCCUAGGUCCCCUGAGACCCAGUCCCAUCAGGGCUGGACUUGGCAGGCAGGAAUCCCCUGGCAUUCACUCAAGCUGGCAACAAAGGAGAAGCUGGCAUGAAACUUAAAUUCCACCUUGGCUCUCAGCCCUAAAUCCACCGUGCCUGUCUGGGAGUGUCAUGGCAUGCGUCUUGGAGCCAGAGAACAAAAGAUGGCAAGUGCUGCAGGCCCAGACAGGCAAGGACCACAGCCCAUAUAUCCUGCACCACUGUGCUGCCUUCCAACAAUUUUGUCUUCAAGAACAGCACCUAGACACGCAUUAGGAGGGAAAAUUACACUUCCACCAGCACAGGCAUGUUCGCCCCUUCCCAGCUGGUAAUUGAGUUUCGUCGUCAGAGCUAUCACCUAGAUCAGGUAAGAAAAUGGGUGAAAAGUACGCCAAGUGCCAUUACUGGUCAAUUUUACUUAAAACAGUUUUCUCAAACCUGGAGAAAGCAAACCAUGCACCACCUUGGCUCCUCAACUAGGCUUCCUAAACUACCAAAGAGGCUCUUUAAGCACCUCAACCUUGGGGGAAAACAAAGAAAACAAAUCCUCUUCUGCUCUGAACCUGGCCUAGGAGCCCUGCUCCUCUGGACCAGCCCCUGACCUGCUUUUGGGUGGGCUACUACUCUCCUACCCAGUGUAAGGUAUGUAAGAUGAAGGAGCGUGGGAGAGAGAGAGGGCCCAGGCCUAGUUUCUGCUAUUCCAUCUGGACCAUUCUAUUAUAGGACUCAAAGACAGAUACAGAGAGAACUUUGGAAUAAGGCCUGGGAUAAAAUUUUGGUGUUAUCACUAAAGAGCUGCUACUUAACCUUCUUUUGUUCUGUUUCAUCACCUGUAAAAUUGGGUACACCAUCUACCUCCAUGGGAUGCUGGGUUAUGGGAUAAUAUACUUAACAUACCUUAAAAAAAAAAAAAAGCAAGAUUCCCUUUGGCAUGCAUAUAGAAUGGGGGAGAAUACAAAUUAGUUUGGCCCCAGCAACCUGAACCUUCUUCUUCUAGCAUAACUCUGGGAUCAUGACCUCAGAAAAACUUUGCAUAUACCUUUCCAUAGACAAAUGUAGUAAACACAACUCAAACCCAAGGCUGAAAUGCUAUUGGCCGUGACUAAUCUGAGGUAUGCCUUGGAGAACUGUCUCCACAGUUCAGGCCUUUCUAGACCAGUCCUAAAAAAUCUCAAGCACACAAAGUAUAUUCUUAAAUAUGGUUUAAUACUCUUCUCCAUUUCUGUACAUCACAACACCAAGAUUUUGCUGCUUAGUAUCUCUC
This 3726-nucleotide long non-coding RNA is filed under the name Homo sapiens (human). RNAcentral describes it as "HSALNT0095041". The record is from RNAcentral. Lineage: Eukaryota; Metazoa; Chordata; Mammalia; Primates; Hominidae.